RNAcentral lists this ribosomal RNA (253 nucleotides) under uncultured bacterium. RNAcentral's name for it is "partial 16S ribosomal RNA". It matches the Rfam family "Bacterial small subunit ribosomal RNA", at positions 524 to 776 of the family's 1533-position model. The record is from RNAcentral.
UACGUAGGGUGCAAGCGUUGCCCGGAUUUAUUGGGCGUAAAGGGCGCGUAGGCGGCUCUGCACGUCCGUUGUGAAAUCGCCCGGCUCAACUGGGCGGGUGCGGUGGCGACUGCCGGACUGGAGGCACUCAGAGGCCGGUGGAAUUCCCGGUGUAGUGGUGAAAUUCGUAGAUAUCGGGAGGAACACCAGUGGCGAAGGCGGCUCUCUGGGCAGAUACUGACGCUGAGACGCGAAAGCAUGGGGAGCAAACAGG